This 253-nucleotide ribosomal RNA is filed under the name uncultured bacterium. RNAcentral's name for it is "partial 16S ribosomal RNA". It matches the Rfam family "Bacterial small subunit ribosomal RNA", at positions 524 to 776 of the family's 1533-position model. The record is from RNAcentral.
UACGUAGGUGGCGAGCGUUGUCCGGAUUUACUGGGCGUAAAGGGCGUGCAGGCGGUUUGUUAAGUGCAGGGUGAAAGCUCCCGGCUCAACUGGGAGAGGUCCUUGCAUACUGGCGAACUCGAGGGAGGCAGAGGAAAGUGGAAUUCCCGGUGUAGUGGUGAUAUGCGUAGAUAUCGGGAGGAACACCUGUGGCGAAGGCGGCCCCCUGGUCGGAUACUGACGCUGAGACGCGAAAGCGUGGGGAGCAAACAGG